UAAUCACGCCACAUCAGUCUACUAUAAAUUGCCGAAGCGAGUGAUGUAUAUAAAGGCAUCAGAGAUCUCGAUUUCGGUAUAAUACGAUUUAUUGUGAAUAUUUACUUUGUUUUCACUUCUAUUCCUAAAAAACCAACUAAAACCCAAAAUGGGCGCUGAAAAGGUAUCCAUGAACAUCGUUGUCGUCGGACAAGUCGAAUCUGCCAAGGUCAUCAAGACUGUCGCCAAAGCCGUACCAAAAAUGAGCUCAUUGAUGAACUUUUAACUCAUGUAAUCCAUCAAUCGCCAACUCAAAAAUGCCAUAGUUCAAACAAUGUAUUUAUAUGUAUAUAAUAUUUAUUAUAUCAUUGCCAAAUAUAUCAGUUCUUAUCGUUAUUUA
Molecule: long non-coding RNA, 379 nt
Filed under: Sipha flava (yellow sugarcane aphid)
Lineage: Eukaryota; Metazoa; Arthropoda; Insecta; Hemiptera; Aphididae
Description: uncharacterized LOC112690385
Source: RNAcentral